This 421-nucleotide ribosomal RNA is filed under the name Arthrobacter sp. RNAcentral's name for it is "bacterial SSU rRNA". It matches the Rfam family "Bacterial small subunit ribosomal RNA", at positions 35 to 455 of the family's 1533-position model. Lineage: Bacteria; Bacillati; Actinomycetota; Actinomycetes; Micrococcales; Micrococcaceae. The record is from RNAcentral.
AACGGCUGGCGGCGUGCUUACACAUGCAAGUCGAACGAUGAAGCCAGCUUGCUGGUGGAUUAGUGGCGAACGGGUGAGUAACACGUGAGUAACCUGCCCUUGACUCUGGGAUAAGCCUGGGAAACUGGGUCUAAUACCGGAUAUGACCUUCCAUCGCAUGGUGGUUGGUGGAAAGCUUUUGUGGUUUUGGAUGGACUCGCGGCCUAUCAGCUUGUUGGUGAGGUAAUGGCUUACCAAGGCGACGACGGGUAGCCGGCCUGAGAGGGUGACCGGCCACACUGGGACUGAGACACGGCCCAGACUCCUACGGGAGGCAGCAGUGGGGAAUAUUGCACAAUGGGCGCAAGCCUGAUGCAGCGACGCCGCGUGAGGGAUGACGGCCUUCGGGUUGUAAACCUCUUUCAGUAGGGAAGAAGCGUAA